Flavobacterium psychrophilum JIP02/86 is the source of this 66-nucleotide regulatory RNA element. It matches the Rfam family "S15-Flavobacteria ribosomal protein leader". NCBI's taxonomy places the organism in Bacteria, Pseudomonadati, Bacteroidota, Flavobacteriia, Flavobacteriales, Flavobacteriaceae. The record is from Rfam.
UAAUUUUGCACUCGAAUCCGAGAAACGGAAUUCAUACAUAAAAAUCAUUAAACAAAUAUUGGAAUG